GAGGGUGCGAGCGUUAAUCGGAAUUACUGGGCGUAAAGCGCUCGUAGGUAGUAUGGCAAGUCAAGGGUGAAAUCCCCGCGCUCAACGUGGGAACUGCCUUUGAAACUGCUACACUUGAGUGUGUGAGAGGAUAGUGGAAUUCCAGGUGUAGGAGUGAAAUCCGUAGAUAUCUGGAGGAACAUCAGUGGCGAAGGCGACUAUCUGGCACAUAACUGACACUGAGGAGCGAAAGCGUGGGUAGCAAA
Molecule: ribosomal RNA, 245 nt
Filed under: uncultured bacterium
Lineage: Bacteria
Description: partial 16S ribosomal RNA
Rfam family: Bacterial small subunit ribosomal RNA
Source: RNAcentral